This 396-nucleotide transfer-messenger RNA is filed under the name chicken gut metagenome. It matches the Rfam family "transfer-messenger RNA". From Rfam's summary of the family: Bacterial tmRNA, also known as 10Sa RNA or SsrA, is named for its dual tRNA and mRNA-like properties. Its role is to liberate the mRNA from a stalled ribosome. To accomplish this part of the tmRNA is used as a reading frame that ends in a translation stop signal. The record is from RNAcentral.
GGGCUUGACCGGUUUUGACGGCGGGUAGAGAUGGUAAGUAAGCAUGCAGUGCGUUGUGAGGAGGCACUAUAAUCUGAACUCUCGAAAAUUAUUUGGCGAAAACAGAUACGCUCUCGCUGCUUGAUUUGAAGAACAGUAGAAUCGCUUAAUUUCUGCCAAGAGGCGGAAACGAGACAUCGCUCGGAAGUCGCUUUCCUGAGACUAACCGGUACAGCGGUGCAGCAAAAUCGGGAAUAGCAACGUGAGGCUCCGCUCAUGUUGUGAAAUAACAGGAGAUAAGGCAUCGGUUGGUGGCUUUGGUCUUGCCGUUGCACGAAAAACGCAGUCAAAGAUAAGCAUGUAGAAAGCUUAUGGUUUCCUCGUUCGGACGAGGGUUCGACUCCCUCCAGGUCCACU